This 7979-nucleotide long non-coding RNA is filed under the name Lactuca sativa (garden lettuce). RNAcentral describes it as "long non-coding RNA (LSAT_LNC002954)". The record is from RNAcentral. Lineage: Eukaryota; Viridiplantae; Streptophyta; Magnoliopsida; Asterales; Asteraceae.
UGAAAAACGAAAAGGAAGAUUAAGUUUUAAAUGAAUUGAAACUCCUAGAUCUUUUGAGAUUCAUUGAACUUUUCAAUGGCAUGUUUAAUCUCGAUUAUGCCCUACUAUUUGUGACUGGGAUGCCGAGGAUCACAAACAAGGUGUGAAUAACCAUACGAAUCACGUGGUGCACCCAAUGCUACUAUCACCUAAUCAAUGUGCCGGUUAGCCACACACGCUCCAUUGAUCUAUGACAAACAUCGAGUCACCCUUCGCUACCAAUGUCAUCCCCAAAUUAGUGUGCCGGUUAACCACACACGCUCCACUAACGUUUGACAAGGGUACGAAGUGUAAUUCCAUGGGUUAGCAUACAAUUUCACAUUUUGCCUAAAGUAACUAUGAUUUGGGAAUUUGAAAAAGCAUUUAGUUACUUUGUACUUCAUUAUACUUAUAAUGGAAGGUUUCUGUCCUAUCCUACCCGUUCGGCUAACGACCCUCCACUAGUCAAGAGUGCGGUGGGUAAGAGUGGAUACCCAUUCAAUCGCCAUUUUAUAGGCAAUUUCCUUAAACACCCCUUAUAGACUAGCUUCGUGAAUGAGGCCUACUAACGGUAAGACUGAAUUUUUAGUUAUACAUAUAUAAUAUUAAACUUUUAAUGUUAUAUAUAGUAUAAGGGUGUAUUUUACACUUUUAAAAUACUAGGUGGUUUAAAUUAUACUUUUAAUUAACCAAAAUCAUUAUGGAUUUAUUAAAUCUCUUUUAAUUAUACACUUAAUUAAUUUAAUAAAACCAUAAGGGUUUAAUUUGAACUUUUCAAAAUCAGGGUUUUGGAUUUUAGACUUUCAAAAUUAACUUUUAAUCAACAAUUUAAAUUCCAAAACUUGAGGGCAAGUUUUGAAACUCUUCAAAACAAUUAGGUUUUAAUCUCACUUAAAAUUUUGAAUUUGAGACAUUUAAAUUAAAAUUUUAAAUAUUAAAACUGUUGAUUUAAUAAUUACCAUAAAUUAAACAAUUAAUUUAAAUUAUUAAAUCACAAGGGAUUAUCUAGAUCAUGAGGAUAAUUACCAAUUAUACAUCUAAGAUAUCCAAAUCCCUUGAAUCCCUCUCUAAAUCUCGAAAAUAAGGGAUGGGAUAAUUCAAGAUCUUUAAUUACCAUAUUUAACAAUUAAAAGAUAAUUACAAGAUAUGGGAUUAUCCAAAUCCCUAAAAUUUAGGAUCUAACCUUGGGGAAGGAGGUAAUUUCGAAAUCCAAGGGUUGGAAAACCCUAGAUUUCAAAAUCUUGGAGGCUAAGGAAAGGAUUUGGGAAACCCUAGCAAAAAUCGCCAUCUAGGGUUUAGCAACCCUAAUUGCGAAAAAUACCUAGCCUUUAGGGUUCAUUAGCCAUAAACCCUAAUAUGUCAAGUUCAUAAAUUUGAAUAAAAGCUAAUUGAAAACAAAAACCAAUGGCUCUGAUACCACUGAUGGGUUUAAUACAAACAAUCCUAUGUGUGCAUGCAACCCUAGUAUUGGAUCUAUGUUUUCACUAUUAGUUAUACAGCUUUAUGAACACAAAAAGAAACCUGGCAUGCUACUAUAAUUUUCGAAAUUCAUAUAUAAAGCUAGAAUACAUACCUUUUGUUGUUAUAUAGCAAUAACAACUAGUUCCUUGAAUUUCCUUAGCUCUUGAAAGCAAGUACCACAAGUGUAGUACCUCUAAUGGAGUCACAAACACCAUAUGCAACUUGGAUGAAGAGGAGAAGAAAGGGAGGCACCAAAAACGGCUGGAAACCCUAAUGGAAGACUUGUUCACGUUUUUGGGGCAUAGGGGCCCUUUAUAUACAUGUAGGCUAUUAGGGUUUACAACUAGGAAACCCUAAUUUGACUGCUUAGGCCCUAAGCAGCCCAUGGACUCCUUAAACAUAUCCCUUGGACGAUUUCUAAUGGGCUUCCCAUAGAAUUCGUCCAACCUAUAUAUUAUUAGGUGAUCCAUAGCCCAAUUAUAAUUAUCUUAUAAUUACAACUUCAGUCCCCUAAGUUUAAUUAAUCUCUUUUAGCCACAAAAUUAAUUAACAAUUAAUUCUUGACUAAUAUUAAUUAAACAAUAUGAUUUCUCCUUUAAUAUAUUAUUCUCAUAAUAUAUUAAUAAAUCAUAUUUAAACCUUUCUCUCCUUAAAUCAUCCUACAUAUUGCUAUGGUGAAGGCAACCCAAAAGGACCAUGCUCAUAAUCGGGUCAAGUACAUACCAAAAUAGUUAUGGACUUAGACACUAAUCCAACAGUCUCCCACUUGGAUAAGUCUAAUAACUAUUUUCCGUAUGACUUCAAAACCUGAUCAGCAAUCGUAGCUUUCAAAAGCCGCUGUCAACUCUGAUCUUAUCAGAUAGCGUGUCCUCUAGAUAAGGGAUUAUAUAUUCCUCCAUUCUCAAGAUAUCGUAUAGACAAAAGACAUGAAUUUCAAUCAUUCUCUCUAUACUUUUUCCCGACUUCCGAUUCAUGACGACUGAUAACAGACUACAAUUGAACACAUCAACUUAGUCCCGGCUUGGCCAAGCGCUUAGAUGUCAUCACUAAAUCAUCGAGAGGCCCACAUAUAUCGCUUUUAUCCCACUUUGGGUAAAAGGAAUGGAUAAACUUCGACUCAAAUGCUCGCUUGCAUUUACUGAUCGAAUCACACACAACAAUAAGUUUUAUAACACCAAGUUACUGGUGCGUUUACUUAUUAUCAAUGUGUAACUGACCAACAAAUAACAACUCACACGUCUCGGUUUCAAGAAUAUACAAUAUUAUCGUCUCACUAAUCACUCGUGAUAAAACCGUGAAGUGAUCCAAGUGAGCGUGGGUUUAAUCCAAUACUUUAAUCUUAUCAAAGCACUCACGAACUCUGCAGCAAACUUGUGCCAUGUCUAAACACUUCAGACAAUCUACAGACAGAUUCAUGACAGUCUUUAUUCAUACCUACUCCCAACGUAUGACCAACUGUGGAUGUUUGAAUAACCUAGUUAUUCUGGAAGUCAAAACAUGCAAAUUGAAACAUGACAACAAUACUUAAUCCUAUAUGGCCCCAAACUUGUGAGAGUAAAUAAAACCCUUCUAUUUAUCCACCAUAUUGAUUACUCAUUAUUUAUCAUUUAAUGUUUCGGAUAAUCAACUCAUUACUUGAAUUAUACCAACAAUUGUCCCAUGCUCUAAACAUGCACACUUUGUUUCCUAUGGUCCAUGCUUUGUGAAAUAGAUCACCUGAAAACUUUUCCAAUGAUGCUCAUUUCACAAUUCCUUAAUCCUAAUUAUUAGUGUAGGAACACAAGGUUCUUGCCACUACUAGAAUAUGCUAGAUUCUAACAUUUUACGCAACGAUCCUUUCGUAAAGUCAUAGCACAAAAAUCACCAAGACUUGGCUAAUGAAAUUACAAAGUGCUUUCUUAGAAAUUGUUACAAGACAAUUCCAUAGAUGUGAAGUCUCACAUUCAAAGUACAUUCCUUUGAACAUCCUUCUUGCAUAAAAGUUUCUAAUCUAGGCAUAGACUCUCAAUAUCCAACUCCCAAUAUGGAAACAUUUCCACAUUUGCCAUAUGACAACUCAUUCUUAAUAGAAUCUUAUCUAUUCGUAAUAAUGUCGAUAUGGUCCAUCCAAUACCAUACUUUCAACUACUUACAAGCGAUCAAUCCUCAGCGAACUUUGGAUCAUCCUUUGAUAGUUGUUAAAUUCUUUCAGUCAAAACCAAUUCUAUUCCUUUUUCCCUCUUAAUGCGCUAGACAUUUGGAAAAUUUUAGAAUGGUAAAAUACUAUAGCAUUUACAAUCGAUCCUAUACCCGAAGCGUAUGGGACACGAUGCAUAAUGUCUUACAUAAAGAUAUGAUACUUUACCAAUCUUUUGCCAUAAUAUUUUAUGUGUCAUGUUCUCACAAUUCGAACUAUGAAGAGGGAUGCCGUAAUCAUAAUCGAAUUUUAAGAACACACAAUGUAUCCUUUGACUGAAAAUAUUAAAAUUUCUUAAUCUAAGCUUUAGAUUUUGAAACGGAGUAUAAUAUUCUCUCCCUUAAUUAUAGCAAAACAACUUUUCAACCCAUGCAACUUUGCAAAUGGAAUCUUUGUUUUUCUAUAAUUAAUAUUGCUAACUUGCAAUACUCGCCAUAACAAUCAUACAAGCAUAACACUUAUGCUCCCACUAUCAUGAUGAUUAUCAUAUAAGCAUAACAUUUAUGCUCCCACUAGCUUUGACAUGUAUUCAGAAAACAAAUGAACUUUCAGAAAACAAUGCCUAUUGAAUCUCUGAAAUUCAUAUUUCUAAUACCAGAUGCUUCGAUAAGCCUUUAUCUAAGCUUCUUAACCUUAUACACCUUUGCCUUAGAUAGCUCAUAUGUGUGUUUAAACAAUUCAUAACUUAUGUUACUAAGUUCCAAAUGUUGAAACUAAUUGCCAAAUCUCACAAUUCGAACUAUGGAAAGGGAUGCCGUAACCAUAAUCGAAUUUGAGAAUACAAUUUUCACAAUUGCUAUCUUCUUAAAAUCUCUCUUAGUGAAAGCAUUUCCUCACAGUCAUUUUCAUGAAGGAGGGAAUCUUAUGACACUUAGAUUUUAUGGUGUAUGAGUUCCUAUCCAUGUGAAUUUGCCAAAAACAAGGUUUGCGACAAAUCCAAACUCAUAUGGACUGAACUUUCUUAAUCUUGAUUUCUUGCCCUAUGGUAACACGAGUGCCCACCAUGCCUUCCAAGUAGUUUAGUAACUUGUCCUUACAUAUCAAUUUACUUUCCAUCGACUAAGGCUUUAGUGUGUAUUCAAAUGAGAACUCAUAGAACUCAUAUACACAAUUAACUCAAUUGGAAUGGCACAGAAACAAAACAAUGUCAGCACGAUAGGUUGUAAACCUCAAGUCGUGUGCUAGUGAUGAUCGAUAAGGUUUAUUCUUGAUUUGUUCUUGAAACCUUUUCAAGACCAUUAAGACUCCCACUGACUUCUUGACAUAUAAGAUUCUCUUGUCAAGAAACAUUUCUUGACAAACAAAUAUUCAAUAGUUAGUGAAGCAUUUAUCAAGACAAAACACUUCACACAAUUGGUCCUAGUUGGUCUUUGUCUUAUCCAAGACAGCACAACUUACCAAUUUCAAAUGUGCAAGAAUAAGAAAACUUUUCCAAAUUCCACAUUUGAUGAGUGUUAUAAACCUACUUAAGACUUUUCACUCAAUGUCACAAUCUUGACUCUAAGACUUGAUAUUGGAACGAAGUAUGAUUGACUCUUUGAUUUAACCAUUUCUACAAUUCUCGAUUCCUCUUCUUAGACAUGCAAUUGCACUAAGACUCACUUAGAGGAUCAAUUGAGACAUGGUUCUUAAUCAUUAAGACUUAUCAUAAAACACAAUAAAAGGUACUCUCCCUUCUUCUUAGAAUAGAGAAACUUUUAUCUUUCUGCCUACUUGAUUCUUCUUUAUUCGUUCUACUAUUCAUUGAAACUCUUUCAAUCAACUCAGAAUUACACUUAAUCUUAUAAGUAUAAUCAUAUUUACUAAACUUUAGUAAAUCAUGACGAAUAUCUUUGUCACUCUUGUGGUGGACUUGAUCAACGCACAACCUAGUGUACUUGAUCUCCUAGUCCUUCAAUUGACACUUUGUCAAAGAAUUAGUCUAAGUUUCCCAAAUGUGAAAGUUUUUCAUUCAUCAUACAAUACACAUUGCAUGAUUCCAAGUUUCUGUCCAAUUGAAACUUGGGCGAUGAGAAACUCUCCCUAUUUGGUAAACUUUUGACAUUUCCACAAAUAACAUAAUUAAGAAUCAAAUCCAUUAUUGCUAAUAAUAGAAACAUUCAAACAUUAAUUUUUUCAUACAUGCCAUUGCAAGGAUAAAUAAAUAAGAUAAAAUCAAAAUUCAUUUUAUUGCGGAAAAAAUUUGUCCUUACAAUGCAAUUCAAUUGAAAAACUAUGUUAUUACAUAUUUCUUAACAAUCUAUUCUAACUCCAAGUAGUAGCUCAAGAAUCCAUUCUUCAAGUAAUGCGAUCGAAAUCCAUUUCUUCAUGAUUAGAUUCAGCUCACUUCUUCCCUCAAGCUUCCUCUCUUUUCUUCGAUCCUACAAAACAUCAAAAUGUAAUCUUAUCACAUCAUGUAUUAAGAAUCUAGAAUAGGAACUCAAAAGAGUUAGAUAAUGGAUUUUACCUGAAGCAGAGCCAUACGUCUUGACUCUCCCAUCUCUUAGAUCUCUCAGGUAGUUAGGGCAGCUUCGUCUCCAAUGCCCCUUCUCUUGGCAAUAAAAGCAAAUGGACUCCUUUGGCACAGCACAUCGGACAAUCACAGACUUAGUUCUUUCUGGACUUCCAAUGUUGCCAGUGUCCAUUGAAGUUUGGGAGUUUGAUUCACCAGACAAAUUUGCUUGACCAGCACGCCAAAUCAUUGCUGAUUCAGCAGCUAUAAGCAAAUAGGUGAGAUCAAUGAGGGUCACGUCGUGAUCCAUCAUAUAGUACUCUCUAACGAACUCACUAUAUGAUUCAGGAAGUGACUGAAGAACCCAGUCAACAGCCAACUCGCUUGAAAUCUCGACACCCAACAUGCUUAACCUAUCAAUGUGUGACUUCAUCUCUAAGACGUGUGCACACACAGGUUUCCCAUCUUCGUGUUUACUUGCCAAAAGGGCUUGAGUGAGCUUGAACUUUUCAAGCCUUUGAACUUGUGGGUCAGGGAGAACAAUUGGAGGAGGUGGAGGAAGUGAAGCAUGACUCUCAUUUCCUUGAUCGUAUCUCGGAACGUCAUCUUCAUUUGGAAAGCUUGUUCCAAAGGAUUUGGGAAGACCAUUGUAAGAUUCAGACAUCUACAAAACGGGAGAAAAUUCAAGUUAAGUUGAUUAGAAUUCUUGAUGUAACACCCAAAUGAAACAUCAAGCUAGGAUCCAACACAAUACUCUACAACCUAGAAGAGGGAUGCCGUAAUCUAGUUGCAGAAUAUCUGAAGGUAGGUAAAUGACGAUUUACCAAUUUCCACCAUGAAAAACGAAAAGGAAGUUUAAGUUUUAAAUGAAUUGAAACUCCUAGAUCUUUUGAGAUUCAUUGAACUUUUCAAUGGCAUGUUUAAUCUCGAUUAUGCCCUACUAUUUGUGACUGGGAUGCCGAGGAUCACAAACAAGGUGUGAAUAACCAUACGAAUCACGUGGUGCACCCAAUGCUACAAUCACCUAAUCAAUGUGCCGGUUAGCCACACACGCUCCAUUGAUCUAUGACAAACAUCAAGUCACCCUUCGCUACCAAUGUCAUCCCCAAAUUAGUGUGCCGGUUAACCACACACGCCCCACUAACGUUUGACAAGGGUACGAAGUGUAAUUCUAUGGAUUAGCAUAUAAUUUCACAUUUUCCCUAAAGUAACUAUGAUUUGGGAAUUUUAAAAAGCAUUUAGUUACUUUGUACUUCAUUAUACUUAUAAUGGAAGGUUUCUGUCCUAUCCUACCCGUUCGGCUAACGACCCUCCACUAGUCAAGAGUGCGGUGGGUAAGAGUGGAUACCCAUUCAAUCGCCAUUUAAUAGGCAAUUUCCUUAAACACCCCUUAUAGACCAGCUUCGUGAAUGAGGCCUACUAACGGUAAGACUAACUGUUUACUCAUACAUAUAUAAUAUUAGACUUUUAAUGUUAUAUAUAGUAUAGGGUGUAUUUUACACUUUUAAAAUACUAGGUGGUUUAAUUUAGAAAAAUUAUACUUUUAGUUUAAUUAAAUGUAAACCAAAACUUUAUGGGUUUAUUAAAUCACUUUUAAUUACACACUUUAAUUAAUUAAUAAAAUCAUAAGGGUGUGAUUUGAACUUUUUCAAAUUACUAGGUUUUUUGAAUUUAACAUUUCAAAAUUAAACUUUUAAUCAACUUUUAAAUUCCAAAACUUCAGGGCAAGUUUUGAAACAUUUCAAAACAUUAGGGUUUAGAAUUUAAAUAUUUCAAAAUUAAACUUUUUAAUCAAAAUUUAAAUUCCAAAACUUGAGGGCAAGUUUUGAAACUUUUCAAAACAUAAGGUAUCAAAUAACAAAUAACAUAAAUUAAACAACUAAUUCGGUGGUU